Molecule: transfer RNA, 87 nt
Filed under: Candidatus Tectimicrobiota bacterium
Lineage: Bacteria; Pseudomonadati; Candidatus Tectimicrobiota
Description: tRNA-Leu
Rfam family: tRNA
About the family: Transfer RNA (tRNA) molecules are approximately 80 nucleotides in length. Their secondary structure includes four short double-helical elements and three loops (D, anti-codon, and T loops).
Source: RNAcentral
GCCCAAGUGGUGGAAUUGGUAGACACGCCAGCUUGAGGGGCUGGUGGGGGCAACCCCGUGUCGGUUCGAGUCCGGCCUUGGGCACCA